AAACUGAUCUUCCCGUGAAGAAGCGGGAAUAUGUAUAUAAGACGAGAAGACCCCAUGGAGCUUUAAACCCAACAGCACCUAUUCUUUUUAAAUCCACCCAUUCAUAUAGUAAAUGCUUGUUUGUUUUAGGUUGGGGUGACCGCGGAGUAAAAAUUAACCUCCACGAAAAAGGGCAUAAAAGCCUUAUCAAAGAAUUACACUUCUAUGAAUUAGUAAACUAAUUUUUGAUGAUCCGAUAUUCGAUCAACGAACCAAGUUACCCUGGGGAUAACAGCGCAAUCCACCUCAAGAGCUCCUAUCGACAAGUGGGUUUACGACCUCGAUGUUGGAUCAGGGUACCCCAGUGGUGCAGCAGCUACUAAAGGUUCGUUUGUUCAACGAUUAAAACCCU
This 391-nucleotide ribosomal RNA is filed under the name Boophis majori. Its description in RNAcentral is "partial 16S ribosomal RNA". It matches the Rfam family "Bacterial large subunit ribosomal RNA", at positions 2039 to 2597 of the family's 2925-position model. The record is from RNAcentral. Lineage: Eukaryota; Metazoa; Chordata; Amphibia; Anura; Mantellidae.